GGAAGGAUCAUCAAUAGUCCAAGGUCAAGUCAUCCGUUGUCCGUCCGUCCGUCCAGGUUGCGUAAUGGUAACGGGGAGGAGGAGGAUGAGGAUGAUAUUGAAUAUACCACCUUCUUGUGAAUAGUCUUGUUGGUUAUAUGGUAGACUGGGGGUGGUGGUGGUAUGGUGUGGCGUGACAUGGGAUGUGUAAGGGAGUGGUUGUGUGGUAACGGUGGUAUGUGUAUACAUGCUGUCGUUGCCUACCGUCAUUGCUAACGCAUUCCGCUGCUAUUACUACUACUACUAUUACCACUACUCCCAGUUGACCGUUUGUUUUACGCAACUACACUAUGAUCUACAAUAGUAAUGGAUUAUACUGGCAGGUUAUUGUCAGUCAAAUUAUAUACAUACAACUUAUAGCAAUGGAUCUCUAGGCUCUGGCAUCGAUGAAGAACGCAGCGAAUUGCGAAAAUUGGUGUGAUUCGUAUCCACGUGAAUCAUUGAGUUUUUGAACGCAUAUUGCACCAUUUACCUUUGGCUAAUGGUAUGCCUGUUUGAGCGUCAUUAAAAUACUCUUUCUGGUACGUUUUCCCGUUGUGUGGAAGGGUAGUAGAAAGGAUCAUGGGCUGUCCAAGGUAUAGUUAUGCGUGUGUCAUACAGGUGUAUACAUACGUGUAUGUACUUGGUAGUUUGAAAUGUAGGUAACGGCAGAUUGUUGUCAUGGUCUUGGAAAAGGGCUGGUAGCCGUGUUUAUUCACGGCAGCAUCCGUUGCUAUAAAUUCACUGAUAAGUUAGUGGGCCGUCAUACCCUCCGAGAUCAGUUGAAUGUGUAAUGGUUGUGCUAGUCUGGUCGUUGAUAAACGACAUCCAUAUCAUACCUCUGUCGAGUAAUAUCCGGAAAUAGUACCAGUAACAGGGCGUUAGUGCACAUGUGCACGGUAUAGACUUGUCUGUGUGUUUAUAUUAUAUACCCACAGGUUUGGAUGUACAGUUGCCGUUGUCAUUAUCUCUCUUAUCCGUUACUGUGUCCGUCAACUUUUUGACCUCAAAUCAGGUAGGAGGACCCGCUGAAUUUAAGCAUAUUAAUAAGCGGAGGAAAAGAAACUAACAAGGAUUCCCCUAGUAACGGCGAGUGAAGCGGGAAUAGCCCAAGCCCUUAAUCAAAGAGGGUAUUUAACCCACUUUGAGUUGUAGCUUGAAGGUUGGCACUUUGACAGCAGGGCUGAUAUAAGCCUUUUGAAUAGGGCGCCAGAGAGGGUGCAAGCCCCGUCUUUUGUUGGCAAACUGUCUGUCAGUACAUGUGUCAUCUGGCGAGUCGGGUUGUUUGGGAAUGCAGCCCUAACUGGGUGGUAAAUUUCAUCCAAGGCUAAAUAUUGGCCAGAGACCGAUAGCGAACAAGUACCGUGAGGGAAAGAUGAAAAGCACUCUGGAGAGAGGGUGAAAUAGUACGUGAAAUUGCUAUAAGGGAACCACUUGCUUAUCUCAAGUCAUGACUUUAUAGCUGUGACGGCUAACACCAGUUUGGCCUCUCGGACAGCCAGUACGGGAAGGUAGGCAGGGCUUUCGUGGUCUUGCUGUUAUAGCUCGUAUGAUAUGGUUUACGCGGGGGUUAGACUGAGGCAUUCCUGCAGUGCGUGCCUGAUAAUUAUUAUCGGGCGGCUAGCUGUACUUGCUCAAUGUGGGCACUGCCUAGACAGCAUGCUGACUAGGCGUGAAAUUCUCGCGGCGACUCAAGUGCGUGUGUAGACCCAUUAGCACUAAGGGUGUUGGCUAAAGGAUAGUAAGUGACCCGUCUUGAAACACGGACCAAGGAGUCUAACAUAUAUGCAAGUGUUUGGGUGACUAAACCCGUACGCGUAAUGAAAGUGAAGAGAUAUUUAUUAGUGGUGCCAGGCUUCUCCCUUACGGGGGUUAGCUGCAGCAUCGGCCAACCGUGAGGCCUUCCGUGCCAAAGGUUUGAGCAAGAGCAUAUAUGCUAGGACCCGAAAGAUGGUGAACUAUACCUGAAUAGGGUGAAGCCAGAGGAAACUCUGGUGGAGGCUCGUAGCGGUUCUGACGUGCAAAUCGAUCGUCGAAUUUGGGUAUAGGGGCGAAAGACUAAUCGAACCAUCUGGUAGCUGGUUCCUGC
Molecule: unclassified non-coding RNA, 2107 nt
Filed under: uncultured fungus
Lineage: Eukaryota; Fungi
Description: sequence contains 18S rRNA gene, ITS1, 5.8S rRNA gene, ITS2, 28S rRNA gene
Rfam family: Eukaryotic large subunit ribosomal RNA (bases 1020-2107)
Source: RNAcentral